Molecule: ribosomal RNA, 456 nt
Filed under: uncultured Streptococcus sp.
Lineage: Bacteria; Bacillati; Bacillota; Bacilli; Lactobacillales; Streptococcaceae
Description: bacterial SSU rRNA
Rfam family: Bacterial small subunit ribosomal RNA
Source: RNAcentral
GACGAACGCUGGCGGCGUGCCUAAUACAUGCAAGUAGAACGCUGAGGACUGGUGCUUGCACUGGUCUAAGGAGUUGCGAACGGGUGAGUAACGCGUAGGUAACCUACCUCAUAGCGGGGGAUAACUAUUGGAAACGAUAGCUAAUACCGCAUGACAAUAGGGUACACAUGUACCCUAUUUAAAAGGGGCAAAUGCUUCACUAUGAGAUGGACCUGCGUUGUAUUAGCUAGUUGGUAAGGUAACGGCUUACCAAGGCGACGAUACAUAGCCGACCUGAGAGGGUGAUCGGCCACACUGGGACUGAGACACGGCCCAGACUCCUACGGGAGGCAGCAGUAGGGAAUUUUCGGCAAUGGGGGGAACCCUGACCGAGCAACGCCGCGUGAGUGAAGAAGGUUUUCGGAUCGUAAAGCUCUGUUGUUAGAGAAGAACGGUAAUGGGAGUGGAAAAUCCAUU